RNAcentral lists this ribosomal RNA (521 nucleotides) under uncultured bacterium. RNAcentral describes it as "bacterial SSU rRNA". It matches the Rfam family "Bacterial small subunit ribosomal RNA", at positions 25 to 518 of the family's 1533-position model. The record is from RNAcentral.
CAGGACGAACGCUGGCGGCGUGCCUAAUACAUGCAAGUCGAACGGUCUUUUCUAUGGAAGCUUGCCUCCACUGAGAAGAUAGUGGCGAACGGGUGAGUAACACGUGGGUAACCUGCCCAUAAGAGGGGGAUAACAUCCGGAAACGGGUGCUAAUACCGCAUAGUUUUCUUGAUCGCAUGAUCGGGAAAGGAAAGACGGCCUUUGUGCUGUCGCUUAUGGAUGGACCCGCGGCGUAUUAGUUAGUUGGUGAGGUAAUGGCUCACCAAGACGAUGAUACGUAGCCGACCUGAGAGGGUGAUCGGCCACAUUGGGACUGAGACACGGCCCAAACUCCUACGGGAGGCAGCAGUAGGGAAUCUUCCGCAAUGGACGAAAGUCUGACGGAGCAACGCCGCGUGAGUGAAGAAAGGUUUUCGGAUCGUAAAACUCUGUUGUCAGAGAAGAACAAGUUGGUGAGUAACUGCUCCAGCCUUGACGGUAUCUGACCAGAAAGCCACGGCUAACUACGUGCCAGCAGCGGC